ACCACACUUCCUUUGGAAAAUCAUGAGCACUCAAUUGGCUGGUUAGUUGAUUUGUUGCUUGGUUGGUUGAGAAGAGGAAAAUAGUCACCUGCACAGGUGUUAUCAGUCUCAGCUCUCAUAUGUCGCGCUUUUGAGCAACCAAACAAGUAAAAUGUGAAAUAAUUUUUAAAAAGCUUCAUGCUUUCUACUUGCAUUUCUUAAGGAUUUGACAGGAUUCAAGUGCUUACUCCCCCCCCAAUCUAUCCAUACAGCUGGAGAUAAUUGGAAACAUGGGUCCAAACCUGCGGGCAUUUCCGCCCAGCAGUUAUUGGGUCACUACAUCAUAGGUGCAAUCCUCAGCAUGCAAAGCCAAUGCCUGCCACUCAGAGGAUCUGAGACCUAUGAUAGGGAGUAGGAGAUAUUUAGUAUGAUGUAUGAAUGUGGUUUUAUAUAUAUGUAUAUGGAUGUUUUUAGUGCUUAGGUGUUUUAGUGUUUUUAGUGUUUUAGUGUUUUUAAUGUUUUUAGAUUAUUUUUAUGUCCCCAAAUUUAAAUAAUGUAUCUUAAUUUUGCUGGUCAAUGACCAUAAUAAAACGUUUCAGCUUUCAACCUCCUUAACUUUGUCUCCUGAAAACAGAAAACAGCCCAUGGGGCAUUGCAUGGAAUUCAAGAGAAUGGAGUCACAAUGCCAAGGUUCCAUGGGCUCUGAGGUCAGAGGAUUCAAAAGAUGCUCUGAGAAUCCGUUGGGCUCAGAGCCAGACCGGUUUCUUUGGCUGCGAAAACCUCUGUGGAUGAAAGCGGCAGUCGGAGAGGAUGGUGAGGAGAAGGGGUGACAUUAAAGGGGACGAAUAUCAGAAUGGAUAGAGGCGCUAAGAGGCCACCUUUUGACCACUGGUGUCUAAGAUGGGCCAGCAGGAAGGAGAACAAUUUUAAGAAACAACGCUGGGAGAGGGCAAGAGACAAACUGCUACGCCCAAGGAGGAAGGACUUAACAGAUGAAGGAAAGCAAUCCCUUUCCCCUCUUAUCCGUAAACCCCAUAAAUCCCAUAAACCCUGUAAAUCCCGUGUUAUUCCUCUCCCCAGCCCAAAUCCUGCUCUUGUCCCUCUCCCCGACUCAAAUCCUCCUCUUGCCCCUUGCUCCAACCCACCCCCUCCUCUUUCCCUUCUGCCCUUCCCCUUGUUCCACCUUCUCCCUUUAUUUCAAGAGGAUCGCCGUCACCCACACCUCCCAGGAACCCUGACCCGAAGAUUUCCCCUCAGCUGCCUUCCAUCCCAACACCUUCAGCCCAAGAUCCUUGCCCUCCGACCUCUCCCUCCGCCAGCAAAACCACCUGGCCAACUGAAGAAAUCCUUCCGUUCAGUCUUUCCUCCCUUCCUGCCCUUCCCUUCCCUCUCCCUCACCUCCUGCCUCCUUUCCAGUGCCUGCCUUGCCGCUAUUGGUUAUUAUUAUUGUAGGAAAUAACAUAGGAGUAUAUAGGAAAUAUAGGAGUAUUAUCAACCCCUCCCCCCUCCAAAUAGAUCUAAAUUCCUUGAUUUCAUUUAAAAACAUGUUAGGUAUUAUUGAUUAUUCCUUUAUUUCACAAAUUAUUACUGCUGUAUUAUGUAUUUCAAAAAAUAAAUAUUGUUUGUUUUAUUCA
Long non-coding RNA from Pogona vitticeps (central bearded dragon), 1613 nucleotides. Lineage: Eukaryota; Metazoa; Chordata; Lepidosauria; Squamata; Agamidae. The record is from Ensembl.